This 23-nucleotide microRNA is filed under the name Mus musculus (house mouse). Its description in RNAcentral is "mmu-miR-1966-3p". Lineage: Eukaryota; Metazoa; Chordata; Mammalia; Rodentia; Muridae. The record is from miRBase by way of RNAcentral.
UUUCUGACUCAACUCUCCCUUAG